AGAGUUUGAUCAUGGCUCAGAUUGAACGCUGGCGGCAGGCCUAACACAUGCAAGUCGAACGGUAACAGGAAGCAGCUUGCUGCUUCGCUGACGAGUGGCGGACGGGUGAGUAAUGUCUGGGAAACUGCCUGAUGGAGGGGGAUAACUACUGGAAACGGUGGCUAAUACCGCAUAACGUCGCAAGACCAAAGAGGGGGACCUUCGGGCCUCUUGCCAUCAGAUGUGCCCAGAUGGGAUUAGCUUGUUGGUGAGGUAACGGCUCACCAAGGCGACGAUCCCUAGCUGGUCUGAGAGGAUGACCAGCCACACUGGAACUGAGACACGGUCCAGACUCCUACGGGAGGCAGCAGUGGGGAAUAUUGCACAAUGGGCGCAAGCCUGAUGCAGCCAUGCCGCGUGUAUGAAGAAGGCCUUCGGGUUGUAAAGUACUUUCAGCGGGGAGGAAGGUGUUGUGGUUAAUAACCGCAGCAAUUGACGUUACCCGCAGAAGAAGCACCGGCUAACUCCGUGCCAGCAGCCGCGGUAAUACGGAGGGUGCAAGCGUUAAUCGGAAUUACUGGGCGUAAAGCGCACGCAGGCGGUCUGUCAAGUCGGAUGUGAAAUCCCCGGGCUCAACCUGGGAACUGCAUUCGAAACUGGCAGGCUUGAGUCUUGUAGAGGGGGGUAGAAUUCCAGGUGUAGCGGUGAAAUGCGUAGAGAUCUGGAGGAAUACCGGUGGCGAAGGCGGCCCCCUGGACAAAGACUGACGCUCAGGUGCGAAAGCGUGGGGAGCAAACAGGAUUAGAUACCCUGGUAGUCCACGCCGUAAACGAUGUCUACUUGGAGGUUGUGCCCUUGAGGCGUGGCUUCCGGAGCUAACGCGUUAAGUAGACCGCCUGGGGAGUACGGCCGCAAGGUUAAAACUCAAAUGAAUUGACGGGGGCCCGCACAAGCGGUGGAGCAUGUGGUUUAAUUCGAUGCAACGCGAAGAACCUUACCUGGUCUUGACAUCCACGGAACUUUCCAGAGAUGGAUUGGUGCCUUCGGGAACCGUGAGACAGGUGCUGCAUGGCUGUCGUCAGCUCGUGUUGUGAAAUGUUGGGUUAAGUCCCGCAACGAGCGCAACCCUUAUCCUUUGUUGCCAGCGGUCCGGCCGGGAACUCAAAGGAGACUGCCAGUGAUAAACUGGAGGAAGGUGGGGAUGACGUCAAGUCAUCAUGGCCCUUACGACCAGGGCUACACACGUGCUACAAUGGCGCAUACAAAGAGAAGCGACCUCGCGAGAGCAAGCGGACCUCAUAAAGUGCGUCGUAGUCCGGAUUGGAGUCUGCAACUCGACUCCAUGAAGUCGGAAUCGCUAGUAAUCGUGGAUCAGAAUGCCACGGUGAAUACGUUCCCGGGCCUUGUACACACCGCCCGUCACACCAUGGGAGUGGGUUGCAAAAGAAGUAGGUAGCUUAACCUUCGGGAGGGCGCUUACCACUUUGUGAUUCAUGACUGGGGUGAAGUCGUAACAAGGUAACCGUAGGGGAACCUGCGGUUG
RNAcentral lists this ribosomal RNA (1522 nucleotides) under Salmonella enterica subsp. enterica serovar Montevideo. Its description in RNAcentral is "bacterial SSU rRNA". It matches the Rfam family "Bacterial small subunit ribosomal RNA". Lineage: Bacteria; Pseudomonadati; Pseudomonadota; Gammaproteobacteria; Enterobacterales; Enterobacteriaceae. The record is from RNAcentral.